GUGGGGAAUAUUGGACAAUGGGCGCAAGCCUGAUCCAGCCAUGCCGCGUGUGUGAAGAAGGCCUUCGGGUUGUAAAGCACUUUUGUCCGGGAAGAAAUCUUCCAGGUUAAUACCUUGCUGUUUUGACGUUACCGACAGAAUAAGCACCGGCUAACUUCGUGCCAGCAGCCGCGGUAAUACGAAGGGUGCAAGCGUUAAUCGGAAUUACUGGGCGUAAAGCGCGCGUAGGUGGUUUUGUAAGUUGGAGGUGAAAUCCCCGGGCUCAACCUGGGAACUGCCUCCAAAACUGCAUGACUAGAGUACGGUAGAGGGUAGUGGAAUUUCCUGUGUAGCGGUGAAAUGCGUAGAUAUAGGAAGGAACACCAGUGGCGAAGGCGACUACCUGGACUGAUACUGACACUGAGGUGCGAAAGCGUGGGGAGCAAACAGGAUUAGAAACCCCUGUAGUCC
This 450-nucleotide ribosomal RNA is filed under the name uncultured bacterium. Its description in RNAcentral is "partial 16S ribosomal RNA". It matches the Rfam family "Bacterial small subunit ribosomal RNA", at positions 354 to 796 of the family's 1533-position model. The record is from RNAcentral.